AAAAUAUAAGGAAAUACAGGAGAGAUCAAAAGAGAUCACCGGAAUUCCCAUUUUCUCAAGAAAACCAAUGUUAGUAUUUUGGUGUUUUUCCUUCCCAUCUUUUUCUUUCUGUUUUGUAACAUACUUGUGAUCAUAACGUAUAUUCAGUUUGUGUCCUGCUUUUUUUCAUUUAUCACAGAAGUACUUUCUUAAUAAAAAGAUCUAGUAUCCAUCAGAUGUAUUUAUCAUAAUUUAAUUAUCCCCUCCUCGUAGAUAUCUACACUUUGACCAGUGUUGAUUUUGUUCAUCUGCACAGACUCCCAAAAAAGCUUCUAGCUGAAAACCUGACUCAAAACAGAAACCACCUGUAAGGACUUGCUCAUGAAAAAUCUACACGGCAGUUCCCUCCAGGAAAACCAGGCGGACGAGCAGCCUGUGCCUGGAAGUAGGCGGGGCCACUCCUGGGUCUGCCUCUGCAGACACAGACCAGGGAGUGAUUUCUCUGCCCCUGUGGUAGCUGCUGCGGCGGGAAGCACACGGCAGACCCUGAGCAGGCUGGCCAGAGAGCCAGCCUCUGCCUGACGGGACCCACAGCUCAAAUGCUGGCUGGAUUUGCCUGGGCCAAAAUAAGCGGAAGAGUGGCGGAGUGCUUGGAGAUCACUUCCAAUCACACCAUUCACAAGGAGAAGCAGUGCACCUCUAGGACAGAUGCCUUCAAACGCAGAGGCUGGCUGCUCCCCGAGAAGGAGGGCCAGGCGGGGUGGUACCAAGCAGUGAUGCUAGAGAAACAUCAUUCAGCAGCCUCCUGGAACACAUGGGAGCCCGGUGGCUGAAAUGUCCUUUCCUCCCAGAGUUAGAAUACAUAAUGUUAGUUAACUCCACAAAUUAGUGCAGUGGCCGUGACAGUCGAGGCCCCCAGUCCCCAGCCCCCUAGGCUUAUACAACAGACGCUGGUUGUCCCAUCCUCUGCUCAAUCCUAUUUAAGACAAGGAUUGUGCACUCCUGGCUGGAGUCCAGGAGGGUGGGAGCCACCGGGUGGUAGUGGCACGGCCCUGUCUCCAGGCCAGACUCUCCUGCUCCUGGCCCUCUUGACGCUCACAGAGUGGCCUCUGUGGCUGCCGAGCCCCGUGCUGCAGCAUAAAUCCGCAGCUUUUGUCUGUGUUUAAUCACACCCUGAGAAGUGAUAUCCAAGUGCAACUGUUUCCAGCCAGGAGUGCAGCUCCCAGGCCCUGCUGCUGCCUACCCAAGACAAACAGACGUAACAAGGAAUUUCUAGCACAGUGCUGGGCCUCUGUGUUAAUAAAUGGCUGACCAGGAGUACUGGGUAAUGCAAGCUGGGAACUCCCCAUCACACACACACACUGGAGCCGGCUCUGACACAUGGGGCAGAGACUCGGCCUUUGGUUCCCUGAGGACUAAUUUACAUACCCUCUUAGCUGCCACCCAACUGUUUCUAGCUGAAGCUAUUUUUGAAGUAUCCUGAAGGAAAGCACACAAGCCUCUAGCCUCUCCCUGCCUGUCCUGGGUUUCCAAGGUCAGGAUAUGGAGGAAAGACCUGUUCAAGGGACAUGGCAGGGAGGGAGCUGUGACAGUUACAGAGAAGGGAGUCCCUUUUUUGGUCAAAGGCAAGUAUUGUGAAAGUUUACUGUUCUAGAAAGGCACCCACAUCAACCCAAGCCCGUAAGAAAGCGGGGCCCAGUAAACUGCAGAUAACUGAAGCACUAAAAGAAAAAGACAUCUAGUCAUUUGUAAUACAGCUUUGGUGCAUGAUAUAUAACAUUUUGUACAUUAAAAGGUUUCUGGCGAUUUCUCUUUAAAGCAGACCACAAAGUAGACAAGAGAUUGGUUAUUAUGGAACGCUUGUGUGUUAAACGCGAUUUCCAUCUCUGCGGCACCCAAUUCCAGAAACGUUAACUGGACGAUCCUCAGGGGAUGGUGGAUCAUCUGCAUCUGUUUCCAGACGUGUAUGAAGGAUCUCCUUCGUACACCUACACCCCAUGCAAUUUCCCUUGAACCAUGACUGACCAGCUGUCUGGACAACAUCCAGGGCGAGUCACAAGAGGCUUGGGAAUCCUGGAAGGCUGUUUUCAGAUUAUGGAAAUGCAAAUCAAAUCCUCCCUGAUACGACUUCACACCCACUAGGAUGGCUAUAGAAUCAAAAAGAUGGACAAUAACAAGUGCUGGUGAGGACAUGGAGCAACUGGAACCCUCACACACUGCAGGUAUACACCCAGCCUAUGUGCAAACACUUGUACAUGAAUGUUUAAGGCUGCAUUAUUCCUAACAGCCAAACUGUGGAAACAACUCAAAUGUCCAUCAACUGACGAAUGGACAGACAAAAUGGAGUGUGUCCAUACAAUGGUGGAGGGGCUCGGCAGACGAGCAGCCCCAUUUAGCCCUAAAAAGGGGUGAAGGACUGAUGCGUGCCGCAACACAGAUGUACUUUUCAUAAAAUGUCCAGAUAAAAUAAAAAUAAAUAAAUAAUACAAAGUCAAUAAAUACAUAAAAUAUCCAGAUAAAAUGUUUGACACUAUAUAAUUAAUAAGAAAUAAACUAAAAAAAAGUACACUGCAA
This 2553-nucleotide non-coding RNA is filed under the name Pongo abelii (Sumatran orangutan). Lineage: Eukaryota; Metazoa; Chordata; Mammalia; Primates; Hominidae. The record is from RNAcentral.